GCAUAAUUAGCUCAUUGGUUAGAGCAUCACUCAUGAAUUCUGAGGUUGUGGGUUUGAUUCCCACAGUGCU
RNAcentral lists this transfer RNA (70 nucleotides) under Puccinia triticina. Its description in RNAcentral is "tRNA-Ser". It matches the Rfam family "tRNA". Rfam says of the family: Transfer RNA (tRNA) molecules are approximately 80 nucleotides in length. Their secondary structure includes four short double-helical elements and three loops (D, anti-codon, and T loops). Lineage: Eukaryota; Fungi; Basidiomycota; Pucciniomycetes; Pucciniales; Pucciniaceae. The record is from RNAcentral. RNAcentral also lists the same sequence under 1 other name.